GGGAAACCGGGGCUAAUACCGGAUAACAUUUUGAACUGCAUGGUUCGAAAUUGAAAGGCGGCUUCGGCUGUCACUUAUGGAUGGACCCGCGUCGCAUUAGCUAGUUGGUGAGGUAACGGCUCACCAAGGCAACGAUGCGUAGCCGACCUGAGAGGGUGAUCGGCCACACUGGGACUGAGACACGGCCCAGACUCCUACGGGAGGCAGCAGUAGGGAAUCUUCCGCAAUGGACGAAAGUCUGACGGAGCAACGCCGCGUGAGUGAUGAAGGCUUUCGGGUCGUAAAACUCUGUUGUUAGGGAAGAACAAGUGCUAGUUGAAUAAGCUGGCACCUUGACGGUACCUAACCAGAAAGCCACGGCUAACUACGUGCCAGCAGCCGCGGUAAUACGUAGGUGGCAAGCGUUAUCCGGAAUUAUUGGGCGUAAAGCGCGCGCAGGUGGUUUCUUAAGUCUGAUGUGAAAGCCCACGGCUCAACCGUGGAGGGUCAUUGGAAACUGGGAGAC
RNAcentral lists this ribosomal RNA (505 nucleotides) under Bacillus sp. (in: firmicutes). RNAcentral describes it as "bacterial SSU rRNA". It matches the Rfam family "Bacterial small subunit ribosomal RNA", at positions 151 to 641 of the family's 1533-position model. Lineage: Bacteria; Bacillati; Bacillota; Bacilli; Caryophanales; Bacillaceae. The record is from RNAcentral.